UACGUAGGGUGCGAGCGUUAAUCGGAAUUACUGGGCGUAAAGCGUGCGCAGGCGGUUAUGUAAGACAGCUGUGAAAUCCCCGGGCUCAACCUGGGAAUUGCAUCUGUGACUGCAUAGCUAGAGUACGGUAGAGGGGGAUGGAAUUCCGCGUGUAGCAGUGAAAUGCGUAGAUAUGCGGAGGAACACCGAUGGCGAAGGCAAUCCCCUGGACCUGUACUGACGCUCAUGCACGAAAGCGUGGGGAGCAAACAGG
Molecule: ribosomal RNA, 253 nt
Filed under: uncultured bacterium
Lineage: Bacteria
Description: partial 16S ribosomal RNA
Rfam family: Bacterial small subunit ribosomal RNA
Source: RNAcentral